This 83-nucleotide transfer RNA is filed under the name Rhizoctonia solani. Its description in RNAcentral is "tRNA-Gln". It matches the Rfam family "tRNA". From Rfam's summary of the family: Transfer RNA (tRNA) molecules are approximately 80 nucleotides in length. Their secondary structure includes four short double-helical elements and three loops (D, anti-codon, and T loops). Lineage: Eukaryota; Fungi; Basidiomycota; Agaricomycetes; Cantharellales; Ceratobasidiaceae. The record is from RNAcentral. RNAcentral also lists the same sequence under 1 other name.
GGCUCUAUAGUGUAGUGGUUAUCACCUCGGAUUCUGAUUAUGUUAGUCUUCCGGUAACGCCGGUUCGAAUCCGGCUAGGGCCU